RNAcentral lists this ribosomal RNA (255 nucleotides) under Clostridioides difficile. Its description in RNAcentral is "partial 16S ribosomal RNA". It matches the Rfam family "Bacterial small subunit ribosomal RNA", at positions 892 to 1146 of the family's 1533-position model. The record is from RNAcentral. Lineage: Bacteria; Bacillati; Bacillota; Clostridia; Peptostreptococcales; Peptostreptococcaceae.
GAGUGAAACUCAAAGGAAUGGACGGGGACCCGCACAAGUAGCGGAGCAUGUGGUUUAAUUCGAAGCAACGCGAAGAACCUUACCUAAGCUUGACAUCCCAAUGACAUCUCCUUAAUCGGGGAGUUCCUUUCGGGGACAUUGGUGACAGGUGGUGCAUGGUUGUCGUCAGCUCGUGUCGUGAGAUGUUGGGUUAAGUCCCGCAACGAGCGCAACCCUUGUCUUUAGUUGCCAUCAUUAAGUUGGGCACUCUAGAGA